GACGAACGCUGGCGGCGUGCUUAACACAUGCAAGUCGAACGGAAAGGCCCCUUCGGGGGUACUCGAGUGGCGAACAGGUGAGUAACACGUGAGUAACCUGCCCUUGACUUCGGGAUAACUUCAGGAAACUGGGGCUAAUGCCGGAUAGGAAUCCUUGCUGCAUGGUGGGGGUUGGAAAGCUUCGGCGGUUUUGGAUGGACUCGCGGCUUAUCAGCUUGUUGGUGGGGUAGUGGCUUACCAAGGCUUUGACGGGUAGCCGGCCUGAGAGGGCGACCGGCCACAUUGGGACUGAGAUACGGCCCAGACUCCUACGGGAGGCAGCAGUGGGGAAUAUUGCACAAUGGGCGGAAGCCUGAUGCAGCAACGCCGCGUGCGGGAUGACGGCCUUCGGGUUGUAAACCGCUUUCAGCAGGGGCGAAGCUUGUGGUGACGGUACCUGCAGAAGAAGCACCGGCUAACUACGUG
RNAcentral lists this ribosomal RNA (465 nucleotides) under uncultured bacterium. RNAcentral's name for it is "partial 16S ribosomal RNA". It matches the Rfam family "Bacterial small subunit ribosomal RNA", at positions 28 to 507 of the family's 1533-position model. The record is from RNAcentral.